Molecule: ribosomal RNA, 730 nt
Filed under: Elaphropus parvulus
Lineage: Eukaryota; Metazoa; Arthropoda; Insecta; Coleoptera; Carabidae
Description: partial 16S ribosomal RNA
Rfam family: Bacterial large subunit ribosomal RNA (bases 1-540)
Source: RNAcentral
UUAAAUGGCCGCAGUAAUUUGACUGUGCAAAGGUAGCAUAAUCAUUAGUUUUUUAAUUAAAAGCUAGAAUGAAAGGUUGGACGAGGUAAAAUCUGUCUCUAUUUAAUAUUAAAUUAAAAUUUAAUUUUUAAGUAAAAAAGCUUAAAUAUUAUUGAAAGACGAGAAGACCCUAUAGAACUUUAUAUAAAUUUAUAUUUAAUAAAUUUUGAAUUAUUUAUUUUAUUUAUAUAUUUAUAUUUUAUUGGGGUAAUAAAAAGAUUAAAAUAAUUCUUUUUUAUAAUUUUUAUUAAUUUAUAUUUUUUAUUGAUCCAUUAUUAAUGAUUAUAAGAUUAAGUUACCUUAGGGAUAACAGCGUAAUUUUUUUAGAGAGUUCAUAUCGAUAAAAAAGUUUGCGACCUCGAUGUUGGAUUAAAGAUUAAUUUAGGUGUAGAAGUUUAAAUUUUUGGUCUGUUCGACCAUUGAAUCUUUACAUGAUCUGAGUUCAAACCGGCGUAAGCCAGGUUGGUUUCUAUCUUCAAUUAAAUUUAAAUAUUUUAGUACGAAAGGACCAAGUAUUUUAUAUAUUUAUAUAUUUAUUUUUGAAUAUUAUUAAAUUUAUUACUUUGGCAGAUAAGUGUAAUGAAUUUAGAAUUCAUAAAUAUAAAAUUAUAUUUUAUAAGUAAUACUUGUUUUUUAUAGAUUUAAUAUUUUCAUUAAUUUGUAUAUUAUUAAUAGUAGUUUGUGUUUUAGU